AGUUUAAUAUAAAACACGAAUGGGAAACGGAUCACUUUUCAUAACAUCUUUAUUGGAUGUGUCUCACUUUUAAACAUAUUUACAGAUACUUUAAUCUUACUUUGUAGCUCAGUAAAAAUACAAAUACAGAACACUCAGUUGUGUCAAAAUCAACGUCGCUGCAGCGACCUGAUGGUUUCCUCCUCAGCAUGGACUCGGUGGUGAUGAUGUGGCGUUCAGAGGGAGGCGAGAGCAAAGUCUGCACUGCAUCAAUGAAGUGACUGAUGGGUAAAAUGAAAUGAAUUCAACUCUAUCGACGUGUUAAACGAUGAGCACACAUGAAAAAGAGAAGGAAGAGACGAGUGGGGGAGAGAAGAAACCACCUCCUAAUAUGGUGGUUUCAACGCUUCAAUUAAAACUUCAGAGGAAAUCCUCAGCUUUUACGAUGCAGCUGCUAACUUGUGUACAUAAUGUAACCACGUCUGGCUGCGCUGCCACCUAUUUUGGUGAAAAAGAAAAAAAAAAUAUUCUCAGCAAGAUCUGUUCCUAGUUAUCCGCAAAGGAAACAGCGAUUUAGAGUUUAAAUCUGGGCCAGGUUUACCUGAACCGAUCAGAAGGAAAGACGACUCAAAGGGAGAGAGAGAGCAGAGCGGGUCCGGCUUGAUGAAAAUACUCACAGUGCCUUAAAAAAACGUAAUCACACCCUCUGAACGUUUUCCACACGUUGUCACUAACUUCAAAAAGCAUUUUUUGAAGUUAGUGACUUCAAAAAGUCACUAACUUUUUGAAGUCACUAACUUCAAAAAGUUAGUGACUGGUAAGUGUAAAGGGAAAGAUAUGUUAUGCUUGGUUCUAGACAUGUUUUACAAAAAAAAAAGGAGUGUGCCAUGUAUAUGUAUGUAUUCAGCACAGCUAAAUAACAGUGGCUUUAAAGGUCUCCGUAUCAGUAAACAGUCCAUCUGAUAUUUAUGUCGAGUAUUAGGGCUAUCCUGAUCCGAUACGGACAUCGGGAAUUGGUCCGAUUAGAUAUCAGGCCAAGAAAUAUAUCGGAUUCCAUCGUUAUGCAGCUAAAACCUCAGAUAGAAGCACUCCGCUCCAGGAUUUAGUCCGACCCGACAUUUUAAGUCAGUAAUUAUCCAAUACUGAUAUUUUUAAAAAGUACUGGCAGUUUUUUCCCCCCUUAAAAUAUUUUA
Long non-coding RNA from Poecilia latipinna (sailfin molly), 1172 nucleotides. RefSeq lists it as uncharacterized. The transcript is spliced from 3 exons. Lineage: Eukaryota; Metazoa; Chordata; Actinopteri; Cyprinodontiformes; Poeciliidae. The record is from RefSeq and is a predicted model, not a curated record.